Molecule: transfer RNA, 69 nt
Filed under: Dahlica ochrostigma
Lineage: Eukaryota; Metazoa; Arthropoda; Insecta; Lepidoptera; Psychidae
Description: tRNA-Gln
Source: RNAcentral
UAUAUUUUAGUGUAAGAUGCACUUUAGUUUUUGAUACUAUUAGAUAUAGUUUAAUUCUAUAAAAUAUAA